GACGAACGCUGGCGGCGUGCUUAACACAUGCAAGUCGAGCGGUAAGGCCCUUUCGGGGGUACACGAGCGGCGAACGGGUGAGUAACACGUGGGUGACCUGCCCUCAGCUCUGGGAUAAGCCUGGGAAACUGGGUCUAAUACUGGAUAUGACUCCACGGUGCAUGUCGUGGGGUGGAAAGCCUUGUGCGGCUGAGGAUGGGCCCGCGGCCUAUCAGCUUGUUGGUGGGGNGAUGGCCUACCAAGGCGACGACGGGUAGCCGGCCUGAGAGGGCGACCGGCCACACUGGGACUGAGACACGGCCCAGACUCCUACGGGAGGCAGCAGUGGGGAAUCUUGCGCAAUGGGCGAAAACCUGACGCAGCGACGCCGCGUGAGGGAUGACGGCCUCGGUGUAAC
RNAcentral lists this ribosomal RNA (397 nucleotides) under uncultured bacterium. Its description in RNAcentral is "bacterial SSU rRNA". It matches the Rfam family "Bacterial small subunit ribosomal RNA", at positions 28 to 429 of the family's 1533-position model. The record is from RNAcentral.